UGAGUGGGUGCGGCUGAGUUCAGCAU
This 26-nucleotide non-coding RNA is filed under the name Homo sapiens (human). Lineage: Eukaryota; Metazoa; Chordata; Mammalia; Primates; Hominidae. The record is from RNAcentral.